Molecule: ribosomal RNA, 591 nt
Filed under: Hollandichthys multifasciatus
Lineage: Eukaryota; Metazoa; Chordata; Actinopteri; Characiformes; Acestrorhamphidae
Description: partial 16S large subunit ribosomal RNA
Rfam family: Bacterial large subunit ribosomal RNA
Source: RNAcentral
CAAAAACAUCGCCUCCUGCAAAAAUCAAUGUAUAAGAGGUCCUACCUGCCCAGUGACUAAGUUUAACGGCCGCGGUAUUUUGACCGUGCAAAGGUAGCGCAAUCACUUGUUUUUUAAAUAAAGACCUGUAUGAAUGGUGAAACGAGGGCUUAACUGUCUCCCUUUUCUAAUCAGUGAAAUUGAUUUACCCGUGCAGAAGCGGGUAUGAAUAUACAAGACGAGAAGACCCUAUGGAGCUUAAGACAAAAAAUCAACUGUGUUAAAAACCCCUAAUUAAAGAAAUUCAACAAAACAGUAAUUGAUUAGCGUCUUCGGUUGGGGCGACCACGGGGGAAAACAAAUCCCCCACGCAGAAAGGGAUAUAUUCCCUAAACAACGAGCCACACCUCUAAGUCACAGAACUUCUGACCAUAAGAUCCGGCACUAGCCGAUCAACGGACCAAGUUACCCUAGGGAUAACAGCGCAAUCCCCUUCAAGAGUCCUUAUCGACAAGGGGGUUUACGACCUCGAUGUUGGAUCAGGACAUCCUAAUGGUGCAGCCGCUAUUAAGGGUUCGUUUGUUCAACGAUUAAAGUCCUACGUGAUCUGAG